AGAAAAUGUAUUUUGGCCAGGCAUUAUAGUAUCAGUAAUUCCCUUUGGAAACCAAAUUUCCACUCUGUCAUCGUGCCUCUGAUGAUUAAGAACUGAGUCAGUUGAACGUGAUGCCUCUGGAAUGCCAACUGGCUGUGGAAAUGUGAAGAAGCCUGUGUGGUCACUGACACUUGAGCAGCACCCACAGCCCUGAAGAAAGGGCCAUCCCAAGAACACUUCCUGGGUGCUGUGUGAUGUCACAACCAGGUAGAGCACUGCUACUACUCUAAAAGGAAAAGAAUGUGGCUCCACCUUGCCAGGAAGAGGAAUCCGGCCAGCUUCCCACGGGCAAUUCUUUCAAGGACUUUCUAAAAACAGGGAAGACAAGGAGACUGCCUGGAAUGAUCUAUCACCUGAUCCCAUUGUGAUUUUAUAAGAGGAAAGUGCUUCUUUUCCAAGAACUCUUGAUAUUACUAUAGAACUGCUGUCACAUGUUGGCCACAUGACCCCAACACCACUUCCAACUGUUUGACCUGUUCCUGCCAAUUAUUGUUAUGCCUUCACACAGGUAAACAAGGAAACAUUUGCAGCCCAUGCAGAUAAAAGGAGGAGGAGGAGAAGGAAGAAAAGGAGGACUAGCAGAAGGAAGAAGAGAAGAAGAAGGACAAGAAGAAGAUGAAAUGGAGGAGGAAGAGGGGAAGGAGGAGGAAAAGUCCUUUAGUGGAUACAAUUCCUUAAGACGAACUUUCCUUCAAAGAGGAAAUUUCCUCAUCUAUAAAAUGAAGAGGUUGCAUGAAAUCAACAGGGGAUAUGUUUCAUCAAUCAAAAUCUCAUGCGAAG
This 819-nucleotide long non-coding RNA is filed under the name Vulpes vulpes (red fox). Its description in RNAcentral is "lncRNA (ENSVVUG00000002191.1)". The record is from RNAcentral. Lineage: Eukaryota; Metazoa; Chordata; Mammalia; Carnivora; Canidae.